Long non-coding RNA from Gopherus flavomarginatus (Mexican gopher tortoise), 321 nucleotides. RefSeq lists it as uncharacterized. The transcript has 4 exons. The record is from RefSeq and is a predicted model, not a curated record. Lineage: Eukaryota; Metazoa; Chordata; Testudines; Testudinidae.
CAGGGUAAAACCAUGGGCCAUGGGGGAGCAAUGGGGCCACAGGGUCGGGCCAUGGGAGGGCCAUGGGGCCACAGGGUCGGGCCAUGGGCCAUGGGGGGGCAAUGGGGCCACAGGGUCGGGUCAUGGGCCAUGUGGGGGCCAUGGGGCCACAGGGUCGGGUCAUGGGCCAUGGGGGGGCCAUGGGGCCACAGGGUCAGGCCAUGGGCCAUGGGGGGGCAAUGGGGCCACAGGGUCGGGCCAUGGGCCAUGGGGGGCCAUGCGGCCACAGGGGGGCUCUUGGGGAGGUCAGGGUGCUGGGGGGCUCGGGGCACUCAGGGGUUG